This is a long non-coding RNA of Erpetoichthys calabaricus (reedfish), 379 nucleotides long. RefSeq lists it as uncharacterized. The record is from RefSeq and is a predicted model, not a curated record. The transcript has 3 exons. Lineage: Eukaryota; Metazoa; Chordata; Cladistia; Polypteriformes; Polypteridae.
AAUCAAUUGUAUGAUGACCAAGUGUUUGGAAAGCGGACGGGGGCCUUCUAAGUCAGAUGAAUAGCCAUGACAGUGGAAUUUCAUGUUGAUGUUGAGCCAAAGGCCCUGCCUGUCAGUGACAUCACUACCGAACCACCCACUAACAUGAUUUCCGGCCAACCCUGAUGACAUCACUGAGUAUCCAGUAUCACAUCACCUUGUAUCCAGAAUUCACCUUCCUGCCAUGUCAGUUCCUGUUCCAGCCACUCUAACUCCACCUCUUCCUCCUACCCACCAUAUUUAUAGAACAGACUCAUCUUGUUAAUUCAGUUCAGUUGUGAACUUCGAUCUGUAAAGAUGUGAUUGUUAUUUUGCUGAUUUUUCAGUAUAUGGAGUGGCC